Molecule: ribosomal RNA, 492 nt
Filed under: uncultured bacterium
Lineage: Bacteria
Description: partial 16S ribosomal RNA
Rfam family: Bacterial small subunit ribosomal RNA
Source: RNAcentral
AGUGAACGCUGGCGGUAGGCCUAACACAUGCAAGUCGAACGGCAGCACAGUAAGAGCUUGCUCUUACGGGUGGCGAGUGGCGGACGGGUGAGGAAUACAUCGGAAUCUACUUUUUCGUGGGGGAUAACGUAGGGAAACUUACGCUAAUACCGCAUACGACCUACGGGUGAAAGCAGGGGAUCUUUGGACCUUGCGCGAUUGAAUGCGCCGAUGUCGGUUUAGCUAGUUGGCGGGGUAAAGGCCCACCAAGGCGACGAUCCGUAGCUGGUCUGAGAGGAUGAUCAGCCACACUGGAGCUGAGACACGGUCCAGACUCCUACGGGAGGCAGCAGUGGGGAAUAUUAGACAAUGGGCGCAAGCCUGGUCCAGCCAUACCGCGUGGGUGAAAAAGGCCUUCGGUUUGUAAAGCCCUUUUGUGGGGAAAGAAAAGCAGCAGGUUAAUACCCCGCUGUUCUGACGGUACCCAAAGAAUAAGCACCGGCUAACUUCGUG